RNAcentral lists this ribosomal RNA (253 nucleotides) under uncultured bacterium. RNAcentral's name for it is "partial 16S ribosomal RNA". It matches the Rfam family "Bacterial small subunit ribosomal RNA", at positions 524 to 776 of the family's 1533-position model. The record is from RNAcentral.
UACAGAGGGGGCAAGCGUUGUUCGGAAUUACUGGGCGUAAAGGGCGCGUAGGCGGCCUGUUAAGUCGAACGUGAAAUCCCCGGGCUCAACCCGGGAACUGCGUCCGAUACUGGCAGGCUUGAAUUCGGGAGAGGGAUGCGGAAUUCCAGGUGUAGCGGUGAAAUGCGUAGAUAUCUGGAGGAACACCGAUGGCGAAGGCAGGUCUCUGGGCUGACACUGACGCUCAUGCACGAAAGCGUGGGGAGCAAACAGG